UAACCUACCUCAUAGUGGGGGAUAACAGUCGGAAACGACUGCUAAUACCGCAUAGGACAUGGGAUCACAUGAUUCCGUGAGGAAAGGUGGCGCAAGCUAUCGCUAAGAGAUGGACCCGCGGUGCAUCAGCUAGUUGGUAGGGUAACGGCCUACCAAGGCAAUGAUGCAUAGCCGACCUGAGAGGGUGAUCGGCCACAUUGGGACUGAGACACGGCCCAA
RNAcentral lists this ribosomal RNA (219 nucleotides) under uncultured bacterium. RNAcentral's name for it is "partial 16S ribosomal RNA". It matches the Rfam family "Bacterial small subunit ribosomal RNA", at positions 122 to 334 of the family's 1533-position model. The record is from RNAcentral.